GAUGAACGCUGGCGGCGUGCCUAAUACAUGCAAGUCGAGCGAACGGACGAGAAGCUUGCUUCUCUGAUGUUAGCGGCGGACGGGUGAGUAACACGUGGAUAACCUACCUAUAAGACUGGGAUAACUUCGGGAAACCGGAGCUAAUACCGGAUGAUAUUUUGAACCGCAUGGUUCAAAAGUGAAAGACGGUCUUGCUGUCACUUAUAGAUGGAUCCGCGCUGCAUUAGCUAGUUGGUAAGGUAACGGCUUACCAAGGCAACGAUGCAUAGCCGACCUGAGAGGGUAUCCGGCCCACUGGAACUGAGACACGGUCCAGACUCCUACGGGAGGCAGCAGUAGGGAAUCUUCCGCAAUGGGCGAAAGCCUGACGGAGCAACGCCGCGUGAGUGAUGAAGGUCUUCGGAUCGUAAAACUCUGUUAUUAGGGAAGAACAUAUGUGUAAGUAACUAUGCACAUCUUGACGAUACCUAAUCAGAAAGCCACGGCUAACUACGUG
This 496-nucleotide ribosomal RNA is filed under the name uncultured bacterium. Its description in RNAcentral is "partial 16S ribosomal RNA". It matches the Rfam family "Bacterial small subunit ribosomal RNA", at positions 28 to 507 of the family's 1533-position model. The record is from RNAcentral.